RNAcentral lists this long non-coding RNA (642 nucleotides) under Trifolium pratense (red clover). RNAcentral describes it as "long non-coding RNA (TPRA_LNC013721)". Lineage: Eukaryota; Viridiplantae; Streptophyta; Magnoliopsida; Fabales; Fabaceae. The record is from RNAcentral.
AAAAUAAAAUGUUUGAGUCCCACAUCGGGUACUAGAAUAUAUUAGUAUGUAUUAUAUACUAAUGUGUAUUUUGAGAAUAAAAUAUUAAAUCCCACAUUUAUUAAUUUGCACAUUUUUAUUGUGAGUGAGACUUUACUUAAAACUUAGUGAUUUCUAUUUGACUUUUUCAAAGCUAUACCCUCACGUAUCAGUUGAGGACUUAGUCUUGUUUUGUUAUAAUUUAGAGAAAAAGUAGGAGCACUCAGUUAUCCUUUUUUAACACAAUAUAUAUCCUAGCCGCCAAGGCAAUUGAAGAGGGAGAUUGAGAAACUUCUCACUAGUAACCACAUACCUCCACAUGCUCUGUUUCCCAAGCAAUAUUAAUUCAAUGUUGUCAAGUGCAAGAGGUUGCUUAAAAGACAAUUACAGAUACCAUGUCACUUGUUGAAACAAAGAAAGAAAUCACAUAGUCAUAAUAUUGUCCUGCCGUGACAUGAUUUUCACAGGUAUGUCGAUAUUGUGAAGACUUCACAAGGUUUUCACUAUUUUAUUUUAAUUAUAGAUCACUAUAGAAAUAGUAUUGUGGUAGUUAUAUACACUGCAUGCUAUUGAGUGUACCAAGUGUUUCUCAAAUUCAAUUGUGGUAGUUAAUAGCAACGUGGA